AUACUUUAUAACAAAAAAAUAAUAUUGUUAUUUAGUAUUAUUUUAUAUGUGCAUAUAUAGCUGUGUAUAUAAAUAUGCUUAAUUGUAAAUAUAUAAUAAAGAAACUAAAAAAAUAUUAACACAAUUAAAUUGCUUUUGAUUUUAUUUUGUAAAAAUUUACAUUUUUUAUUAAAUUGAUAAAUUCACGUUCUUUUAUAGAAAAAUAAAUUUCACUCAAUAAAUUUGAACAUUUACAAAUAUAAAUAUAAUAUAUUUAUAUAUAUAUUAUUAAAAAAAAAUAAACUAGUGCAAUAUGGAAAAAAAAGCAAGUUUACCUUAUGAGACGUUCGAAAUCAAGAAAAGCGUGUUUUAUAUGCCUAAAGAGUUCCAACCAAAUGUGAAGUAUGGAUUUUUUAGUAAUUUUUUAUACGGGAAAUAUUCAAAAUACUAUCUAAAAAGUAUAAUAGCAGUAUCAGCUCAAAUAUUCGGAGGGUUUUUACUUUUUUACUACCCACUUGAUAAAGUCCAUUGCAACAUUCGUAGAUUUGUAAUUUAUUUUAAAAAAUAUAAAAAAAAAUAAAAAUGCAUAAACAAACACAACAUGAGGACGCAUUAUAUAUAUUGCGCUUGUAUUUGUGUAUUAGAUAUAUUUGCUUUUAGAUUUUAUUUUGUAUUACACUGUUUUAAGUUGCAAAUGUAUUUAUGUAUGCAAAUACACGUGUUGUCAAUUUUUUUUUUUUUUUUUUUUUUUCUUUUACUUUUUUUAGAUGUGAAUUUUUUUUUGUAAAAAAAAACAUGUUUUUUUUUUUUUUUUUUUUUUUUUUUUUUACAAUUACAGAAGAGAAAUUUAAAAAAGGAGAAUUAGGACAUGUGUCAACACUAUAUAUAUACAUAUAUUAUAGUAUUAACAUAUUAUAAUACUAAAGGAAAACUAAAAGUGGUAUAUUUUUUUUUACACAUUAUUAAUGUAUAAUUUUUUUAAAUUGUACAUUAAAUAACUUUUUUUUUUUUUUUUUUUUUCUUUUUAUAUAAAAAACUAUAUAAUUUGUUUAUAUAAAAUAUGUGCUUAUAAUAAAUAAUAAAUAAUUUUUAUGGAAAGAGGGGAA
This 1085-nucleotide long non-coding RNA is filed under the name Piliocolobus tephrosceles (Ugandan red Colobus). RNAcentral describes it as "lncRNA (ENSPTEG00000006091.1)". Lineage: Eukaryota; Metazoa; Chordata; Mammalia; Primates; Cercopithecidae. The record is from RNAcentral.